GACGAACGCUGGCGGCGUGCCUAAUACAUGCAAGUUGAGCGCUGAAGGUUGGUACUUGUACCAACUGGAUGAGCAGCGAACGGGUGAGUAACGCGUGGGGAAUCUGCCUUUGAGCGGGGGACAACAUUUGGAAACGAAUGCUAAUACCGCAUAAAAACUUUAAACACAAGUUUUAAGUUUGAAAGAUGCAAUUGCAUCACUCAAAGAUGAUCCCGCGUUGUAUUAGCUAGUUGGUGAGGUAAAGGCUCACCAAGGCGAUGAUACAUAGCCGACCUGAGAGGGUGAUCGGCCACAUUGGGACUGAGACACGGCCCAAACUCCUACGGGAGGCAGCAGUAGGGAAUCUUAGGCAAUGGACGAAAGUCUGACCGAGCAACGCCGCGUGAGUGAAGAAGGUUUUCGGAUCGUAAAACUCUGUUGGUAGAGAAGAACGUUGGUGAGAGUGGAAAGCUCAUUAAGUGACGGUAACUACCCAGAAAGGGACGGCUAACUACGUG
Molecule: ribosomal RNA, 497 nt
Filed under: uncultured bacterium
Lineage: Bacteria
Description: partial 16S ribosomal RNA
Rfam family: Bacterial small subunit ribosomal RNA
Source: RNAcentral